Molecule: long non-coding RNA, 739 nt
Organism: Neogale vison (American mink)
Lineage: Eukaryota; Metazoa; Chordata; Mammalia; Carnivora; Mustelidae
Exons: 3
Source: RefSeq, a predicted model, not a curated record
UCUAGUAUUUGCCUGCAAGUGUGGGCAGUUGUGUUGAAUGUAAAGAACAAGAGAACUCACAGUCUGGGCUAAGAACACCGGAAGGCUCUGGGUUCCUCAGGCACUCUGAAGGAGGAAUAUUCUGUGCAAAGCUGGAGAUACUUUUGUUCCCCCAGGAACUUUACAAAGCUCCAACAGCAUGUCAAUAGCUCAUUAUCGUGGUCAUGUAAAAAUGGAAACAUAAAGAAGAAAGCUGAGUUCACACAGAACCAAGCGCUGAUGGAUGCUUGCAGUAGAAUGGAUAGCCUCGCGAUGAUGCGAUAAACCAUGAACCCGGACUCGAACCCAGCUCCCUAGUCAGUCCGGCACCCACACCUGGGCUGAUGAACGGAAGGAAAGUAAUUGUGUAAAUGGCAGCUUACUCUGUUCUCAUCGGUAAGACAGUAGUGGGCAAUCCAGGCAGAGCUGUUCAGGUCCUGCUCCCUCCUUCUGGCAUCUGAUUAAUGAGGAUCCUUCAAGGUCUGGAACCCAGGGACCCCAGCGCAGAGGCCAUUCUGGCAGUUUCACAGCCACUGAGAGCCGGAAGAGGAAAUGAAAGAAGCAAAGAUCCAUUUACUUUUCUAAGAAGCUCUGACAAAAUUCUUCAUAUGGUUGACACAUCUCUGAACCCGCCCCCACAACAUCCUGAGGGAGGCGGAUGGCCACCCUUCUCCCAGUUCCCCCACAUGACUAAGUGUGUGACCCACACAUGACUCACUCA